Molecule: ribosomal RNA, 433 nt
Filed under: uncultured bacterium
Lineage: Bacteria
Description: partial 16S ribosomal RNA
Rfam family: Bacterial small subunit ribosomal RNA
Source: RNAcentral
AACGAACGCUGGCGGCAUGCCUAACACAUGCAAGUCGAACGAGACCUUCGGAUCUAGUGGCGCACGGGUGCGUAACACGUGGGAACCUGCCCUUAGGUUCGGAAUAACUCACCGAAAGGUGUGCUAAUACCGGAUUAUCUCUUCGGGCCAAAGAUUUAUCGCCUUUGGAUGGGCCCGCGUUGGAUUAGCUAGUUGGUAGGGUAAAUGCCUACCAAGGCGACGAUCCAUAGCUGGUCUGAGAGGAUGACCAGCCACACUGGGACUGAGACACGGCCCAGACUCCUACGGGAGGCAGCAGUGGGGAAUAUUGGACAAUGGGCGAAAGCCUGAUCCAGCAAUGCCGCGUGAGUGAGGAAGGCCUUAGGAUUGUAAAGCUCUUUUACCCGGGAUGAUAAUGACGGUACCGGGAGAAUAAGCGCCGGCUAACUACGUG